Echinostoma caproni is the source of this 45-nucleotide non-coding RNA. NCBI's taxonomy places the organism in Eukaryota, Metazoa, Platyhelminthes, Trematoda, Plagiorchiida, Echinostomatidae. The record is from Rfam.
GCACUGCUGAUGAGAUCAGACCAGGUCGAAACAACUGUCCAGUGC